AGUGAGAUAGGAUAAGUUAGUCUAGUGGGCUCAUACCCUGAAGGUAUCCUUAGUGGUUCUCACUC
RNAcentral lists this transfer RNA (65 nucleotides) under Strongyloides papillosus. Its description in RNAcentral is "tRNA-Met". Lineage: Eukaryota; Metazoa; Nematoda; Chromadorea; Rhabditida; Strongyloididae. The record is from RNAcentral.